Molecule: ribosomal RNA, 351 nt
Filed under: uncultured bacterium
Lineage: Bacteria
Description: bacterial SSU rRNA
Rfam family: Bacterial small subunit ribosomal RNA
Source: RNAcentral
AGAGUUUGAUCAUGGCUCAGGAUGAACGCUAGCUACAGGCUUAACACGUGCAAGUCGAGGGGAAACGACAUCGAAAGCUUGCUUUUGAUGGGCGUCGACCGGCGCACGGGUGAGUAACGCGUAUCCAACCUGCCCAUCACUUGGGGAUAACCUUGCGAAAGUAAGACUAAUACCCAAUGACGUCUCUAGAAGACAUCUGAAAGAGAUUAAAGAUUUAUCGGUGAUGGAUGGGGAUGCGUCUGAUUAGCUUGUUGGCGGGGUAACGGCCACCAAGGCGACGAUCAGUAGGGUUCUGAGAGAAGGUCCCCANAUUGGAACUGAGACACGGUCCAAACGUCCUACGGGAGGCAA